UAUAAGUUUAGCGCGUGGCCCACCUGGAUGUUGAAUCAGCCUGAUUUCGAAUCAAGACUAACCUAUGGACGGUCUGGAUUCCAUGAAAUUAAGUCGUUUUCUACGCAAGCGUUAUCUGAAAAAAUUCCAGUGAUCUCCCGCCAAGAAAAGGAAGACGCUGGCACGCUGCUGCUGCCGCUAUGUUGGCAUAUGGAAAUGUGAAACAGCCAUGGAACUCCAUCCAUCCCACUCUCAUUCUCCUCCCCAAAUGCAAAACCCUCAAAGACGUGAAUCAAAUCCACGCUCGUCUCAUUACAACCGGACUCGUCAAAAACCGCUCUCUCACCACUAAAAUCCUCAUCUCUCUCGCUUCUUCUCCCCAUCAAACGCUUGUCGAGUUCGCUCGCUACAUCUUCUUCUCUCAAUCCAAACACUGUACCGCUCCCUUCCUUUGGAAUGCCAUUAUCAAAUCCUUCUCUCACGGCUCCGACCCUGAACGGGCUAUCCUCCUCUUCUCAAUCAUGCUUGAGAAUGGAGUUGCUGCCGAUCGGUUCUCUUUUUCUCUCGUUCUCAAAGCGUGCUCUCGGCUCGGUUUCGUUAGGGAAGGAUUGCAGAUUCAGUGUCUGUUGUGGAAGAGCGCGUUCUGGUCGGAUGUUUUCUUGCUGAAUUGUUUGGUUUCUUUCUAUGUGAGAUGCGGGUUUGUUGAGCUUGCGCGGCGGGUUUUCGAUAGAAUGCCUGAGAGAGAUUCGAUCUCUUGGAAUUCGAUGAUUGAUGGGUACUUGAAGAAUGGGAUGGUAGGUGUGGCGCGUGAGCUUUUUGAUAUGAUGGGUGAUGGGGAGAAGAAUUUGGUGUCUUGGAAUUCGAUGAUAAGUGGGUAUGCGAGAUUGGAGGAGGGGGUGGAGGUAGCUCGGGAGAUGUUCGAUCAGAUGCCUGAAAGAGAUUUGGUUUCUUGGAACUCCAUGAUUGAUGGUUAUGUGAAGUGUGGACUGUUGGAAGAUGCACAUGAGUUGUUUGAUUUGAUGCCAGAAAGGGAUGUGGUCACUUGGGCUAGCAUGAUACAUGGGUAUGCGAAAUCUGGAAGUGUUGAGGCAGCUCGGCAUUUGUUUGAUGAAAUGCCUGAAAGAGAUGUGGUUGCUUGGAAUGUCAUGGUGGCAGGUUAUGUACAGAAUGGGCAUUGUGUGGAUGCCUUAAAACUCUUCCAAAAGAUGCGGUUUGGCAGCAAUUUAUCUCCUGAUCACACCACUCUGGUGACCGCUCUUUCUGCAGCUGCUGAAUUGGGGCGCAUUGAUGAGGGGAUAACAAUACAUGAUUAUAUCGAGAGAAACAAGUUUCCUUUGGAUGGAAAGCUUGGUGUAGCUCUCAUAGACAUGUACUCUAAGUGUGGGAGAAUCGAGAAUGCUGCACGGGUAUUUGAGAAUUUGGAACAUAAAAGUGUUGACCAUUGGAAUGCAAUGAUUGGUGGGUUGGCUAUUCAUGGAUUAGGUGAGUUAGCUCUUCAUCUAUUCAUGGAAAUGGAGAAAAGUUCCAUCAAACCGGAUGAUAUUACAUUCAUUGGAAUUCUAAGUGCUUGCAGUCACGCUGGUUUGGUGAAGGAAGGUUUGAUGUGUUUUGAGCUUAUGCGUAGAUUGUACAACGUAGAGCCCAAAGUUCAACACUACGGGUGCAUUGUCGACAUCCUUGGCCGAGCAGGGCACUUGGAAGAGGCGAAAAAACUAAUAGAGGAAAUGCCCAUUAAGCCAAAUGAUGUGGUUUGGAGGGCUUUGCUCAGUGCUUGCAGGAAUCAUGGAAAUUUCAGCAUUGGCCAACAGGCUGCUAAGCAAUUGAUUGAGUUGGAUUCUUGCAAUUCUAGUUCAUAUGUGCUUCUAUCAAAUCUUUAUGCCGGUGUUGGCAUGUGGAGUGAUGCUAGCAAGGUAAGGAUGAUGAUGAAAGAAAGAGAGAUGAGAAAAAUACCUGGUUGCAGUUGGAUUGAACUCAAUGGCACUGUUCACGAGUUUGUUGUGGGAGAUAAAUCCCAUCCUCAGGCCAAAGAGAUCUAUGUCAUGUUGGACAAGAUAUGUGCUUUCUAAAUGGGCGUGGAUCUUGACCACCAAUUGGUUGCAUCUUGCAUGAUAAAGAUUUUUUUUGCCUACCUUUGACAGAGCUUUACCUUCUAUUGCAGAGAGUCCAGGCGAGAUUCCGAAAGGUACAUGUGCCAACACAUUCCUCAUUGUGCAAGAUCCAAGCCUCUUCAACAUGAGCCACAAAAUGAUGUCCCAGCCCAAAAUCAAGUCAGUCCACUUAUCAGGUGAAUCACUUGAACAUUGAAUGUGGACGGUUAGCUUUCUUUUUUAAACAUCCAUUAUUUGCUUGUGCACGUGGCCCACCUGAUCCUGUUUUGUUGGAUUUUUUAUGAUGAAUCUCUCAUCCUUGCUCAAGGGGUCUGAAUUCGAUCAGCUUCAAUAAGGGGUGACUUGAGCAUGGAAGGACAUUGGAAGGCUAAGAUGAUUUGAUGUGAAUGGGAGCCCAUGGGCUGUAGUUUAUAGAACUCAACCACAUGCCCCGGUUUAUUCA
Molecule: RNA transcript, 2529 nt
Organism: Magnolia sinica
Lineage: Eukaryota; Viridiplantae; Streptophyta; Magnoliopsida; Magnoliales; Magnoliaceae
Gene name: pentatricopeptide repeat-containing protein At2g45350, chloroplastic
Exons: 3
Source: RefSeq, a predicted model, not a curated record